AACGAACGCUGGCGGCAUGCCUAAUACAUGCAAGUCGAACGAGAAAGCACUUCGGUGUGAGUAUAGUGGCGCACGGGUGAGUAACACGUAGGUGACCUGCCUUUUAGUGGGGAAUAACACGGAGAAAUUCGUGCUAAUACCGCAUAAGUAAAGCAAAUUUGAAAGUAGCUUUAGAAAGGGGGCUUCGGCUCUCGCUGAAAGAGGGGCCUGCGAGGCAUUAGCUUGAUGGUGGGGUAACGGCUUACCAUGGCGACGAUGUCUAGCAGAUUUGAGAGAAUGAUCUGCCCACACUGGAACUGAGACACGGUCCAG
RNAcentral lists this ribosomal RNA (312 nucleotides) under uncultured bacterium. RNAcentral describes it as "bacterial SSU rRNA". It matches the Rfam family "Bacterial small subunit ribosomal RNA", at positions 29 to 334 of the family's 1533-position model. The record is from RNAcentral.